Molecule: ribosomal RNA, 433 nt
Filed under: uncultured bacterium
Lineage: Bacteria
Description: partial 16S ribosomal RNA
Rfam family: Bacterial small subunit ribosomal RNA
Source: RNAcentral
AACGAACGCUGGCGGCAUGCCUAACACAUGCAAGUCGAACGAGACCUUCGGGUCUAGUGGCGCACGGGUGCGUAACGCGUGGGAACCUGCCCUUAGGUUCGGAAUAACUCCCCGAAAGGGGUGCUAAUACCGGAUAAUGUCUUCGGACCAAAGAUUUAUCGCCUUUGGAUGGGCCCGCGUUGGAUUAGCUAGUUGGUAGGGUAAAAGCCUACCAAGGCGACGAUCCAUAGCUGGUCUGAGAGGAUGAUCAGCCACACUGGGACUGAGACACGGCCCAGACUCCGACGGGAGGCAGCAGUGGGGAAUAUUGGACAAGGGGCGAAAGCCUGAUCCAGCAAUGCCGCGUGAGUGAUGAAGGCCUUAGGGUUGUAAAGCUCUUUUACCCGGGAUGAUAAUGACAGUACCGGGAGAAUAAGCACCGGCUAACUCCGUG